Molecule: small nuclear RNA, 106 nt
Filed under: Cavia porcellus (domestic guinea pig)
Lineage: Eukaryota; Metazoa; Chordata; Mammalia; Rodentia; Caviidae
Source: RNAcentral
GUGCUCACUUAGGCAGCACAUAUACAAAACUUGGGGAUAUGGGGGAGAUUAGCACAGCCCCAACACAACCACUAACAUGAAAAUUCAUGAAGCAGUCCAUAAUUUU